This 1072-nucleotide long non-coding RNA is filed under the name Marmota monax (woodchuck). The record is from RNAcentral. Lineage: Eukaryota; Metazoa; Chordata; Mammalia; Rodentia; Sciuridae.
ACAUCUCUACAUAGAGAUUAGUUGUUUUUUUUUUUUUUCUCCUUCCUUUCUUCCUGUACUAGGGAUUGAACCCAGGGGCACUUUACCUGUGAAGUAUAUCCCCUGACCUUUUUAUUUUUAUUUUGAGAUGGGGGUCUCGUUAAGUUGCAGAAUCUGUCCUUGAACUGCCCAUCUUCCUGUCGCAGUCUCUUAAGUUGCUGGCUUACAUAUGUGCUCCAACAUGUCCAGCAGAAUUCAUGUAUGUGUUUCAUUUUUUGUGUGUCUGUGUGUGUGGUAAUGGGGGUUGAACCCAAUGGUACUCUAGUGAGCUACAUCUCCAAAUCACCAGCCAUUUUUUUUGUUUUGUUUUGAGACGGUCUCACAAAAGUGCACUCUUUCUGUCAUAGCCUGGUGAGUUUCUAGAAUUGGACCACCUCACCUGCUCAUUAUGCUUUUUUUUGUUUUUGUUUUUUUUUAGUUGGGCACAAUACCUUUAUUUUAUUUAUUUUUAUGUGCUGCUAAACCUAGUACCUCACAUAUUCUUGGCAAGUGCUGUACCCCUGAGAUAUAACUCUGACCCUCAAUUAUGCUUUUUAAAAAUUUUUUUUUAUAGUUGUAGAUGAAUACAACAUCUUUAUUUACCUUUAUGUGGUGCUGAGGAUAGAACCCAGGGUCUCACACAUGCUAAGCAAGUACUCUACCACUGAGCUACAAUCCCAGCCCAUCAGUUAUGCCCUUUUGUUCAAUUGUUUAUCUUUGAGUUUCUCGCCUUUAAAAUCUGGUUUUUAGGGGCUGGGGAUGUGGCUCAAGCGGUAGCGCACUCACCUGGUAUGUAUGCGGCCCGGGUUCGAUCCUCAGCACCACAUGCACCGCCAAAAACUUAAAAAAAAAAAAAUUGCUUUUUGGGGAAAAGGAAACUAAUUUUUUAAAAAAUUUUUAUUAGUUAUUGAUGGACCUUUAUUUAUUUUUUGUUUAUAUGUGGUGCUGAUAAUCGAACCCAGUGCCUCACACAUGCUAGGCAAGCACUCUACCACUGAGCCACAACCCCAGCCUCAGGAAACUAAUCUUUAAAAUAUCAGUGCCAGAUUUAAAA